GAUGAACGCUGGCGGCGUGCCUAACACAUGCAAGUCGAACGAAGCACCUUACCUGAUUCUUCGGAUGAAAGUUUGGUGACUGAGUGGCGGACGGGUGAGUAACGCGUGGGUAACCUGCCCUGUACAGGGGGAUAACAGCUGGAAACGGCUGCUAAUACCGCAUAAGCGCACGAGGAGACAUCUCCUUGUGUGAAAAACUCCGGUGGUACAGGAUGGGCCCGCGUCUGAUUAGCUGGUUGACAGGGUAACGGCCUACCAAGGCAACGAUCAGUAGCCGGUCUGAGAGGAUGAACGGCCACAUUGGAACUGAGACACGGUCCAAACUCCUACGGGAGGCAGCAGUGGGGAAUAUUGCACAAUGGGGGAAACCCUGAUGCAGCAACGCCGCGUGAGUGAAGAAGUAUUUCGGUAUGUAAAGCUCUAUCAGCAGGGAAGAUAAUGACGGUACCUGACUAAGAAGCUCCGGCUAAAUACGUG
RNAcentral lists this ribosomal RNA (477 nucleotides) under uncultured bacterium. RNAcentral's name for it is "partial 16S ribosomal RNA". It matches the Rfam family "Bacterial small subunit ribosomal RNA", at positions 28 to 507 of the family's 1533-position model. The record is from RNAcentral.